Small nuclear RNA from Meriones unguiculatus (Mongolian gerbil), 104 nucleotides. The record is from Ensembl. NCBI's taxonomy places the organism in Eukaryota, Metazoa, Chordata, Mammalia, Rodentia, Muridae.
GUGCUUGCUGUGGCAGCACAUGUAAAAUUGGAAAAAUACAGAGAUGUUUAGCAUUGCCCCUGCACAAGGAUGAUAUGUAAAUUCAUGAAGCUUUCCAUAUUUUU